UGCCAGCAUCCGCUGUACUCCUGAUUGUGCGAGCGUUAAUCGGAAUUACUGGGCGUAAAGCGCGCGUAGGUGGUUUAUUAAGUCAGAUGUGAAAGCCCAGGGCUCAACCCUGGGACAGCAUUUGAAACUGGUAGACUAGAGUUUUGUAGAGGGUGGUAGAAUUUCAGGUGUAGCGGUGAAAUGCGUAGAGAUCUGAAGGAAUACCAGUGGCGAAGGCGGCCACCUGGACAAAGACUGACACUGAGGCGCGAAGGCGUGGGGAGCAAACGGGAUUAGAUA
This 279-nucleotide ribosomal RNA is filed under the name uncultured bacterium. Its description in RNAcentral is "partial 16S ribosomal RNA". It matches the Rfam family "Bacterial small subunit ribosomal RNA", at positions 506 to 784 of the family's 1533-position model. The record is from RNAcentral.